GCCAGGCAUGGUGGCAUGUACCUGUAGUCAGGCGGCUGAGGUGGGAGGAUCACUUGAGUCCAGGAGUUCUGGGCUGCAGUGCACCAUGCCAAUUGGAUGGUCAUACUAAGUUCAGCAUCAAUAUGGUGGCCUCCUUGGAGUGGGGGACCACUGGGUUUCCUAAGGAGGGGUGAACCAGCCCAGGUCAGAAAUGGAGCAGGUCACAGCUCUUGUGCUGUUCAUAGAUGUUUUUUAUGCUCUACAUAAUUUUAUAAAAUUUGAAUUUUACAAAGAGUGUAUUUCAGUUAGCCGUAGGCUAUAAUAGAAUAGCCAUUCUCU
This 318-nucleotide signal recognition particle RNA is filed under the name Octodon degus (degu). Its description in RNAcentral is "Metazoan signal recognition particle RNA (ENSODEG00000025827.1)". It matches the Rfam family "Metazoan signal recognition particle RNA". Rfam says of the family: The signal recognition particle (SRP) is a universally conserved ribonucleoprotein. It is involved in the co-translational targeting of proteins to membranes. The record is from RNAcentral. Lineage: Eukaryota; Metazoa; Chordata; Mammalia; Rodentia; Octodontidae.